Molecule: ribosomal RNA, 698 nt
Filed under: uncultured Clostridium sp.
Lineage: Bacteria; Bacillati; Bacillota; Clostridia; Eubacteriales; Clostridiaceae
Description: bacterial SSU rRNA
Rfam family: Bacterial small subunit ribosomal RNA
Source: RNAcentral
GAUGAACGCUGGCGGCGUGCCUAACACAUGCAAGUCGAGCGAUCUUCUUCGGAAGAGAGCGGCGGACGGGUGAGUAACGCGUGGGUAACCUGCCCUGUACACACGGAUAACAUACCGAAAGGUAUGCUAAUACGGGAUAACAUAAGAAAGUCGCAUGGCUUUCUUAUCAAAGCUUUUGCGGUACAGGAUGGACCCGCGUCUGAUUAGCUAGUUGGUAAGGUAACGGCUUACCAAGGCGACGAUCAGUAGCCGACCUGAGAGGGUGAUCGGCCACAUUGGAACUGAGACACGGUCCAAACUCCUACGGGAGGCAGCAGUGGGGAAUAUUGCACAAUGGGCGAAAGCCUGAUGCAGCAACGCCGCGUGAGCGAUGAAGGCCUUCGGGUCGUAAAGCUCUGUCCUCAAGGAAGAUAAUGACGGUACUUGAGGAGGAAGCCCCGGCUAACUACGUGCCAGCAGCCGCGGUAAUACGUAGGGGGCUAGCGUUAUCCGGAAUUACUGGGCGUAAAGGGUGCGUAGGCGGUCUUUCAAGUCAGAAGUGAAAGGCUACGGCUCAACCGUAGUAAGCUUUUGAAACUGUAAGACUUGAGUGCAGGAGAGGAGAGUGGAAUUCCUAGUGUAGCGGUGAAAUGCGUAGAUAUUAGGAGGAACACCAGUUGCGAAGGCGGCUCUCUGGACUGUAACUGACGCUGAGGCAC